AUUUUACACAUAUUUAACUUGAUUUAAUUUAGAUUUUUUUCAAAGGAUUUUUUAAAUCCAAAGCUUACUGAAGUAACAUAAUGUUUGUUAUUAUAAUUGGUCACAUGGUCAGGUAUGUUACAUGCAUCUUGAAUGAAUAUACAAAUAUUGAUAACAAUUAUGAUAGUAAUUCAGGUGUCAGGUCUUUUCUCUUCUGUUAAUAAUAUUGGGAAACAAAUAAUAAUCAAUGUUAAAAGGUGCUUUCUGUAGAUAUAAGUAGAAAUCAAAAGUGUACAUAGUAAUGCUGAGAAUAAACAGCAUUUGAGUUUGACCUUUGGAAUAAGAAAUGAGAUUUUAAAGGCUUUUAGAAGAUACUAAAUUUCAUGUCAAAAAUUAUUCCAUACAGUUCACUUGAUAAAUUCAGACAAUGAUUAAUGUAAGAUGCAUAUACUCCCACAUUUUUUAUCAGCUGUAGAUUUCUUUGUAUUUAAGUUGACAGUAGAAAUUCUUUUAAGACAUAAAUGACAGAUAUGCUAUAAUACUGAGGGUUAUCUUUCCUUGAUCAUUGAGUAAAAUAAUGUUCACUUUCUAAAGAACCUUUUCCAUGUUUUUUUUUUAUUAAAGCUGUAUUCAUAGAUGGAUCUAUUUUUAACUAAGAACUGAGGAUACUAUUAUUUACAUUGGUACCAAUUCUGUGAAUUGAUGAAAACCUGCAAUUUCGUGGAUAUUAAUUUCAUGGUUUUGCCAAAUUAUGCAUAUAACUCUAUAGAAAAUUUGCAGUUUGUUAAACAUUUGAAUUCGUGGUUCACCUGUUACCACAAAAACCUUGAAAACUGGUACCCAACAAAUAAUAAUGAAGCCACAGUAGUACAAAUAUAGACAUUUUUGACUUAAAUGUAAUUAAUGAUUUGAUGAUGUACUUUAAACUUGUGAUUGUGGUCGGUGUCUACCAUAGAUGAUGUAUUAUUGACAUUAAAUUUGUUAGCCUUGAUAAUGAUAUACUAAAUUAGGGAAAACAUGCAAUAUAUAUGAAGUUUUGCAAUGGUUUUUAGGGUCAUUUGUGCAAUUAUAUAUCUUAGUUGUAACAUUUCAUAUUUUUGUUCAUUGUUUUAUUUCAUGGUUUUUAAAAAGAAAAUAUAUCAUUUCAUAAAUGUGAUUAUAUUUGACAAUUUAUUAUGAAUAGGGUAAAAUCUUCAAUGAUAGCUACCAUGGCAACCAAAUAUUAUUUUGGAGUAAAUUUUUUUUUUUAUGAACUGUUGCAAUAUAUUACCAUUUUCUGAAAGUUUGGUAAAAAUCUGAAUCCACCCAUUUCCAAAUUUUUUUAUAUCCUUUGAUAUUUACAGAGAGUGAUUCUUAAAUGGCAGUUAGAACCAUUGGAAGUUUCUUUUAUUUUAUUCAAAGUUAUCUUCUGCUAAUCAUAUUUGUGUGAUCUUAUUGUUAAUCAUAAUCAUUAUGCUAUUGUUAUUGGUACAAACAAACCAAGAAAAAAAUAUACACUUAUAAAUAUUUUAAACUAUUUAUUAAUUUCAUCUAUCAGCAGUUUUACUAGGAUUUUUUGUUCCCAUUUUUUAUUAACUGAGACCAUUACUCCCACCUUUCAGUAAUAACUAUAUGAUAUCUUAGAUUGUAAAAGAAUUUACAAUCUUAUCUUUUUUGUUGCUGCACACAAGUUAAAUUUAUAGUUGUCCUAAAAAAAACAGUAUGACUUGCACACAUGUUCCUCCAAGACUCAUUAUCCAUUUAGUUUUGAGUCGUAACAUAAUUAAACAUUUUAUUAUAAGUAAUAUAUGAAAAAAAAUUAAAAACAAAUGUUUAUUUUAUCAAACAUGUGAUUAGUGUAACUAAGGUAAAAUCGGUGUUAUUAUUUGGUUUUCACUUGAUCAUGUGACUUGUGAAAAUAAUUAUGGUGAAAUGGGUGCUAAAAUUUUCAAUUUCAAUGUACCAUCUAUUUUUUUUUUUAUUCAUCAUUAGAUCUCAUUUGACUCCAAGUUAUAUAAGUAUGAUCGGACAUUCCUCUGCAGUAUCCAUUAUCAUGUGAUUAUGUUUUAAAUUUUAUACAUGCUUUUCAUACAAAUAUAAUUAUUCAUUAAAUGCAAUAUAG
RNAcentral lists this long non-coding RNA (2080 nucleotides) under Mytilus galloprovincialis (Mediterranean mussel). The record is from RNAcentral. Lineage: Eukaryota; Metazoa; Mollusca; Bivalvia; Mytilida; Mytilidae.